AUAAAGUUUAAUUUUAACUUGAAGUUUUAUUUAAUUUUUUAUUUACAUGUAAAUUUUUGUGAGUUUUUAAUAUUAAUUUAAAUAAUUAAUGUUAAUUUUUUUAUUCGCAGUAUAUAAUUUUAUUGAUUUAAGAUAUUAAGAAUUAUAAAUAAAUUUAAAUAUUGACAAAAUUUGUGCCAGCAGUUGCGGUUAUACAAAAAAUAUAAAUAAAUUUUAUUGAUUGGUAAUUAAAGGUUUAGUUUUAAUAAAAAUUAAAUUUAUAAGGUGAAAUUUUAAAAUUUAAAAUAGUUAUUAUUGAAUUACUUGAUUUUAUUAGAUUUUUUUAUUAAACUAGGAUUAGAUACCCUAUUAUUAAAAAUUUAAAAUUUUUUCAUCAAAGUAGUAUUAGUUAUGGUCUUGAAAUUUAAAAAUUUUGGCGGUAUUUUAGUCUAUUCAGAGGAACCUGUUCUAUAAUUGAUAGUCCACGAUAGAUUGUACUUGAUUUAAUUAGUUUGUAUAUCGUCGUUAUUAAAUAUUUUAAAAGAAUUAAAUAUUUAAUAUUUUUUAUUAAAAAUUAUAUCAGAUCAAGGUGCAGUUUAUAAUUAAGAAGAAAUGGGUUACAAUAAAUUUAUUUAAAUGGAUUUAAAAAUGAAAAUUUUAAUGAAGGUGGAUUUGAAAGUAAUAAAAUUUAUAUUAGUUUUAUGAUUUUAGCUCUAAAAUGUGUACAUAUCGCCCGUCACUCUUAUUAUAAAAUAAGAUAAGUCGUAACAAAGUAGAUGUACUGGAAAGUGUAUCUAGAAUGU
This 782-nucleotide non-coding RNA is filed under the name Deronectes moestus. The record is from RNAcentral. Lineage: Eukaryota; Metazoa; Arthropoda; Insecta; Coleoptera; Dytiscidae.